UUUCAAUCUAAUUAAUUGUAGUAGUACUACAAUUAUCUAAUUAGUUGUACUAGUAUCUGAGAUUUUUUUACCAGAUUUGUUUACUAACAGGGUUUGUACAAAUUCAAUCUGGAUAAAAGUAGAUUGAAUUCUAAUAGAUUGAACUCCUUCUAUAUUUACUGCAGGAGCCCUCACUUUUUGCCGUAGCAAAACUGUUGGCAACUGGUCUUGUAAAUCUAAACAGGGUAGAAGUUCUUUGGUUUCCUGUAACAAAUCACCUGCUGGAAGUCAUCAUCCACCCGCUUAACCACAUGAGAGAAUGGGGAAUAGAGGCCAUUACUACGUUAGUUAGAUAAGCAAUUCAAUAUGAAUAUUCUACCCCUUUAAAAGAAAACCAGACGUUGUUAAUAUCGCCAUUAAAUGAGCUGUCUAAUACGAGUUUUGCAGACGUGCGGCAAAAGCAAGUUGAUUGUGUGCAACACCAAACUACUAUAUCAGCUGAUUCUUCAAUUAUUUCUUGAUAAAAUCUGUCUUGCAAAUUUCUAUAACCAGCAAAAUAUAUAAUUUUACAAUUA
Long non-coding RNA from Daphnia magna, 554 nucleotides. RefSeq lists it as uncharacterized. NCBI's taxonomy places the organism in Eukaryota, Metazoa, Arthropoda, Branchiopoda, Diplostraca, Daphniidae. The transcript is spliced from 2 exons. The record is from RefSeq and is a predicted model, not a curated record.